This 239-nucleotide ribosomal RNA is filed under the name uncultured soil bacterium. RNAcentral describes it as "partial 16S ribosomal RNA". It matches the Rfam family "Bacterial small subunit ribosomal RNA", at positions 26 to 257 of the family's 1533-position model. The record is from RNAcentral.
AGAAUCAACGCUGGCGGCGUGCCUCAGACAUGCAAGUCGAACGAUUAAACUUUCCUUCGGGAAAGAUAUAAAGUGGCGCACGGGUGAGUAACACGUAAGUAAUCUACCUUCGAGUGGGGAAUAACAUCGGGAAACCGAUGCUAAUACCGCAUAAUGCAGCGGCAUCGCAAGAUGACAGUUGUUAAAGGAUUUUAUUCGCUUGGAAGAGGAGCUUGCGGCAGAUUAGCUUGUUGGUAAGG